AUCCUCUCUUGCCUAUUGGCUAAGAUCAAGUGUAGUAUCUGUUAUUUUCAGUAUAAUAUCUGAAACUUUACACACAGGAGUUCCUUGGCUUGCCAAUACUCCCUCAUGAGUGUCCCUAUUAUUGCACUACCUCUAGGCGACGCUCACAUUUU
Rhizophagus irregularis DAOM 197198w is the source of this 152-nucleotide small nuclear RNA. It matches the Rfam family "U2 spliceosomal RNA". From Rfam's summary of the family: U2 is a small nuclear RNA (snRNA) component of the spliceosome (involved in pre-mRNA splicing). Complementary binding between U2 snRNA (in an area lying towards the 5' end but 3' to hairpin I) and the branchpoint sequence (BPS) of the intron results the bulging out of an unpaired adenosine, on the BPS, which initiates a nucleophilic attack at the intronic 5' splice site, thus starting the first of two transesterification reactions that mediate splicing. The record is from Rfam. NCBI's taxonomy places the organism in Eukaryota, Fungi, Glomeromycota, Glomeromycetes, Glomerales, Glomeraceae.